RNAcentral lists this ribosomal RNA (1371 nucleotides) under uncultured bacterium. RNAcentral describes it as "16S ribosomal RNA". It matches the Rfam family "Bacterial small subunit ribosomal RNA". The record is from RNAcentral.
AGAGUUUGAUCCUGAGCUCAGGACGAACGCUGGCGGCGUGCCUAACACAUGCAAGUCGAACGGGGUAAGCUCUUCGGAACUUACUUAGUGGCGAACGGGUGAGUAACGCGUGAGAAACCUGCCUUUCAGUGGGGGGACAACAGUUGGAAACGACUGCUAAUACCGCAUAAUGUCAUUUGGGGGCAUCCCUGAAUGACCAAAGCUUUAUGUGCUGAAAGAUGGUCUCGCGUCUGAUUAGCUAGUUGGUGAGGUAACGGCUCACCAAGGCGACGAUCAGUAUCCGGUCUGAGAGGAUGAACGGCCACAUUGGGACUGAGAUACGGCCCAGACUCCUACGGGAGGCAGCAGUGGGGAAUAUUGGGCAAUGGGGGAAACCCUGACCCAGCAACGCCGCGUGAAGGAAGAAGGCCUUCGGGUUGUAAACUUCUUUUACCAGGGACGAAGGACGUGACGGUACCUGGAGAAAAAGCAACGGCUAACUACGUGCCAGCAGCCGCGGUAAUACGUACGUUGCAAGCGUUGUCCGGAUUUACUGGGUGUAAAGGGCGUGUAGGCGGAGCUGUAAGUCAUAUGUGAAAUCCCGGGGCUCAACCCCGGAACUGCAUACGAAACUGUAGCCCUUGAGUAUCGGAGACGCAAGCGGAAUUCCUAGUGUAGCGGUGAAAUGCGUAGAUAUUAGGAGGAACACCAGUGGCGAAUGCGGCUUGCUGGACGACAACUGACGCUGAGGCGCGAAAGCGUGGGGAGCAAACAGGAUUAGAUACCUGGUAGUCCACGCUGUAAACGAUGAAUACUAGGUGUGGGGGGACUGACCCCUUCCGUGCCGCAGUUAACACAAUAAGUAUUCCACCUGGGGAGUACGACCGCAAGGUUGAAACUCAAAGGAAUUGACGGGGGCCCGCACAAGCAGUGGAUUAUGUGGUUUAAUUCGACGCAACGCGAAGAACCUUACCAGGAUUUGACAUCCAACUAACGAAGUAGAGAUACAUUAGGUGCCCUUCGGGGAAAGUUGAGACAGGUGGUGCAUGGUUGUCGUCAGCUCGUGUCGUGAGAUGUUGGGUUAAGUCCCGCAACGAGCGCAACCCCUAUUGUUAGUUGCUACGAAAGAGCACUCUAGCGAGACUGCCGUUGACAAAACGGAGGAAGGCGGGGACGACGUCAAAUCAUCAUGCCCCUUAUGUCCUGGGCUACACACGUAAUACAAUGGUGGUUAACAGAGGGAAGCAAAGCCGCGAGGUGGAGCAAAUCCCUAAAAGCCAUCUCAGUUCGGAUUGCAGGCGGCAACUCGCCUGCAUGAAGCUGGAAUUGCUAGUAAUCGCGGAUCAGCAUGCCGCGUGAAUACGUUCCCGGGCCUUGACACACCGCCCGUCA